UUAUCAGGCCCUCCUAUCUAUGUGACGAAAAAGCGUUAAAUGAGAUCAUAAUGAUGGCGUAUUGGUAGCAUAGCCUCUGUAUUGCUAUCUAAUGCAGUUCAUAUACGAACAAAAAGAGGUACUAUCGGAUUUGACAGCGGCUGUUAGCGGAAUACGCGUACAGCCGCUAUGCGAAACUCGGUAAAAUGCAGCGGAAUAACUUCGACUGUAUCCGUGAAAAACCGAUCGUAGUUGAAUGACAACACCAUUUCCGGAAAAACAUUGUACGACAAAAUGGCGGACGAAACCAAACAAGUGACAAGGUUCAAGAAAUUCCUUCUGCCACUGGCUGAUUUGUCCACUUCCCUCCAGUGGGUUUACAUGUCAACACGUCCAAACUUUGUGGGGAGAGCAUUGUAAGACAAGAUCCAACCAGGACCACUUGUUUGAUGCCCCCAGUAGGCUCAUCGUGCGAGGAAGCCGGUG
Haliotis rubra (blacklip abalone) is the source of this 465-nucleotide long non-coding RNA. RefSeq lists it as uncharacterized. The record is from RefSeq and is a predicted model, not a curated record. NCBI's taxonomy places the organism in Eukaryota, Metazoa, Mollusca, Gastropoda, Lepetellida, Haliotidae. The transcript has 3 exons.